RNAcentral lists this ribosomal RNA (429 nucleotides) under Bacillota bacterium. RNAcentral describes it as "Firmicutes bacterium partial 16S ribosomal RNA". It matches the Rfam family "Bacterial small subunit ribosomal RNA", at positions 355 to 776 of the family's 1533-position model. The record is from RNAcentral. Lineage: Bacteria; Bacillati; Bacillota.
UGGGGAAUUUUGGACAAUGGGCGCAAGCCUGAUCCAGCCAUGCCGCGUGCGGGAAGAAGGCCUUCGGGUUGUAAACCGCUUUUGUCAGGGAAGAAAAGGUUCUGGCUAAUACCUGGGACUCAUGACGGUACCUGAAGAAUAAGCACCUGCUAACUACGUGCCAGCAGCCGCGGUAAUACGUAGGGUGCAAGCGUUAAUCGGAAUUACUGGGCGUAAAGCGUGCGCAGGCGGUUAUGCAAGACAGAGGUGAAAUCCCCGGGCUCAACCUGGGAACUGCCUUUGUGACUGCAUGGCUAGAGUACGGUAGAGGGGGAUGGAAUUCCGCGUGUAGCAGUGAAAUGCGUAGAUAUGCGGAGGAACACCGAUGGCGAAGGCAAUCCCCUGGACCUGUACUGACGCUCAUGCACGAAAGCGUGGGGAGCAAACAGG